UUCGAGAUGAUUUCCUUCAGUUCGGCUGGACAAGUGACAGGUGCUGCAUGGCUGUCGUCAGCUCGUGUCGUGAGAUGUUGGGUUAAGUCCCGCAACGAGCGCAACCCUCAUCUUUAGUUGCCAUCAUUCAGUUGGGCACUCUAAAGAGACUGCCGGUGAUAAGCCGGAGGAAGGUGGGGAUGACGUCAAGUCCUCAUGGCCCUUACACGCUGGGCUACACACGUGCUACAAUGGCGGUGACAGUGGGCAGCAACCUCGCGAGGGGUAGCUAAUCUCCAAAAGCCGUCUCAGUUCGGAUUGUUCUCUGCAACUCGAGAGCAUGAAGGCGGAAUCGCUAGUAAUCGCGGAUCAGCAUGCCGCGGUGAAUACGUUCCCAGGCCUUGUACACACCGCCCGUCA
Molecule: ribosomal RNA, 399 nt
Filed under: uncultured bacterium
Lineage: Bacteria
Description: bacterial SSU rRNA
Rfam family: Bacterial small subunit ribosomal RNA
Source: RNAcentral